Molecule: ribosomal RNA, 1675 nt
Filed under: Escherichia coli
Lineage: Bacteria; Pseudomonadati; Pseudomonadota; Gammaproteobacteria; Enterobacterales; Enterobacteriaceae
Description: bacterial LSU rRNA
Rfam family: Bacterial large subunit ribosomal RNA
Source: RNAcentral
AUGCUGGAGGUAUCAGAAGUGCGAAUGCUGACAUAAGUAACGAUAAAGCGGGUGAAAAGCCCGCUCGCCGGAAGACCAAGGGUUCCUGUCCAACGUUAAUCGGGGCAGGGUGAGUCGACCCCUAAGGCGAGGCCGAAAGGCGUAGUCGAUGGGAAACAGGUUAAUAUUCCUGUACUUGGUGUUACUGCGAAGGGGGGACGGAGAAGGCUAUGUUGGCCGGGCGACGGUUGUCCCGGUUUAAGCGUGUAGGCUGGUUUUCCAGGCAAAUCCGGAAAAUCAAGGCUGAGGCGUGAUGACGAGGCACUACGGUGCUGAAGCAACAAAUGCCCUGCUUCCAGGAAAAGCCUCUAAGCAUCAGGUAACAUCAAAUCGUACCCCAAACCGACACAGGUGGUCAGGUAGAGAAUACCAAGGCGCUUGAGAGAACUCGGGUGAAGGAACUAGGCAAAAUGGUGCCGUAACUUCGGGAGAAGGCACGCUGAUAUGUAGGUGAAGCGACUUGCUCGUGGAGCUGAAAUCAGUCGAAGAUACCAGCUGGCUGCAACUGUUUAUUAAAAACACAGCACUGUGCAAACACGAAAGUGGACGUAUACGGUGUGACGCCUGCCCGGUGCCGGAAGGUUAAUUGAUGGGGUUAGCGCAAGCGAAGCUCUUGAUCGAAGCCCCGGUAAACGGCGGCCGUAACUAUAACGGUCCUAAGGUAGCGAAAUUCCUUGUCGGGUAAGUUCCGACCUGCACGAAUGGCGUAAUGAUGGCCAGGCUGUCUCCACCCGAGACUCAGUGAAAUUGAACUCGCUGUGAAGAUGCAGUGUACCCGCGGCAAGACGGAAAGACCCCGUGAACCUUUACUAUAGCUUGACACUGAACAUUGAGCCUUGAUGUGUAGGAUAGGUGGGAGGCUUUGAAGUGUGGACGCCAGUCUGCAUGGAGCCGACCUUGAAAUACCACCCUUUAAUGUUUGAUGUUCUAACGUUGACCCGUGAUCCGGGUUGCGGACAGUGUCUGGUGGGUAGUUUGACUGGGGCGGUCUCCUCCUAAAGAGUAACGGAGGAGCACGAAGGUUGGCUAAUCCUGGUCGGACAUCAGGAGGUUAGUGCAAUGGCAUAAGCCAGCUUGACUGCGAGCGUGACGGCGCGAGCAGGUGCGAAAGCAGGUCAUAGUGAUCCGGUGGUUCUGAAUGGAAGGGCCAUCGCUCAACGGAUAAAAGGUACUCCGGGGAUAACAGGCUGAUACCGCCCAAGAGUUCAUAUCGACGGCGGUGUUUGGCACCUCGAUGUCGGCUCAUCACAUCCUGGGGCUGAAGUAGGUCCCAAGGGUAUGGCUGUUCGCCAUUUAAAGUGGUACGCGAGCUGGGUUUAGAACGUCGUGAGACAGUUCGGUCCCUAUCUGCCGUGGGCGCUGGAGAACUGAGGGGGGCUGCUCCUAGUACGAGAGGACCGGAGUGGACGCAUCACUGGUGUUCGGGUUGUCAUGCCAAUGGCACUGCCCGGUAGCUAAAUGCGGAAGAGAUAAGUGCUGAAAGCAUCUAAGCACGAAACUUGCCCCGAGAUGAGUUCUCCCUGACUCUUUAAGGGUCCUGAAGGAACGUUGAAGACGACGACGUUGAUAGGCCGGGUGUGUAAGCGCAGCGAUGCGUUGAGCUAACCGGUACUAAUGAACCGUGAGGCUUAACCUU